This 27-nucleotide transfer RNA is filed under the name Petracola ventrimaculatus. Its description in RNAcentral is "partial tRNA-Leu". Lineage: Eukaryota; Metazoa; Chordata; Lepidosauria; Squamata; Gymnophthalmidae. RNAcentral also lists the same sequence under 1 other name. The record is from RNAcentral.
UCCGCUGGCCUUAGGAGCCACCAUCCU